Molecule: transfer RNA, 64 nt
Filed under: Sceliphron madraspatanum
Lineage: Eukaryota; Metazoa; Arthropoda; Insecta; Hymenoptera; Sphecidae
Description: tRNA-Ile
Source: RNAcentral
AAUGAAGUGCCUGAAAAAAGGAUUAUUUUGAUAGAAUAAAUUAUGAAAAAAAUUUCCUUCAUUA